This 440-nucleotide ribosomal RNA is filed under the name uncultured bacterium. RNAcentral describes it as "partial 16S ribosomal RNA". It matches the Rfam family "Bacterial small subunit ribosomal RNA", at positions 338 to 795 of the family's 1533-position model. The record is from RNAcentral.
CCUACGGGAGGCAGCAGUGGGGAAUCUUGCACAAUGGGGGAAACUCUGAUGCAGCGACGCCGCGUGAGUGAAGAAGUAUUUCGGUAUGUAAAGCUCUAUCAGCAGGGAAGAAAAUGACGGUACCUGAUUAAGAAGCCCCGGCCAACUACGUGCCAGCAGCCGCGGUAAUACGUAGGGGGCAAGCGUUAUCCGGAUUUACUGGGUGUAAAGGGAGCGUAGACGGCAGAACAAGUCUGGAGUGAAAUCCCGGGGCUUAACCCCGGAACUGCUUUGGAAACUGUGCAGCGAGAGUGCAGGAGAGGUGAGUGGAAUGCCAAGUGUAGCGGUGGAAUGCGUAGAUAUUAGGAGGAACACCAGUGGCGAAGGCGGCUUACUGGACUGUAACUGACGUUGAGGCUCGAAAGCGUGGGGAGCAAACAGGAUUAGAUACCCCUGUAGUC